This 106-nucleotide ribosomal RNA is filed under the name Trechispora subsphaerospora. Its description in RNAcentral is "partial 5.8S ribosomal RNA". It matches the Rfam family "5.8S ribosomal RNA", at positions 52 to 154 of the family's 154-position model. From Rfam's summary of the family: 5.8S ribosomal RNA (5.8S rRNA) is a component of the large subunit of the eukaryotic ribosome. It is transcribed by RNA polymerase I as part of the 45S precursor that also contains 18S and 28S rRNA. The record is from RNAcentral. Lineage: Eukaryota; Fungi; Basidiomycota; Agaricomycetes; Trechisporales; Hydnodontaceae.
AAUGCGAUAAGUAAUGUGAAUUGCAGAAUUCAGUGAAUCAUCGAAUCUUUGAACGCACCUUGCGCUCCUUGGUAUUCCGAGGAGCAUGCCUGUUUGAGUGUCUUGA